Molecule: ribosomal RNA, 497 nt
Filed under: uncultured bacterium
Lineage: Bacteria
Description: partial 16S ribosomal RNA
Rfam family: Bacterial small subunit ribosomal RNA
Source: RNAcentral
GAUGAACGCUGGCGGCGUGCCUAAUACAUGCAAGUCGAGCGAACAGACGAGGAACUUGCUCCUCUGACGUUAGCGGCGGACGGGUGAGUAACACGUGGAUAACCUACCUAUAAGACUGGGAUAACUUCGGGAAACCGGAGCUAAUACCGGAUAAUAUAUUGAACCGCAUGGUUCAAUAGUGAAAGACGGUUUUGCUGUCACUUAUAGAUGGAACCGCGCCGCAUUAGCUAGUUGGUAAGGUAAGGGCUUACCAAGGCAACGAUGCGUAGCCGACCUGAGAGGGGAAUCAGCCACACUGGAACUGAGACACGGUCCAGACUCCUACGGGAGGCAGCAGUAGGGAAUCUUCCGCAAUGGGCGAAAGCCUGACGGAGCAACGCCGCGUGAGUGAUGAAGGUCUUCGGAUCGUAAAACUCUGUUAUUAGGGAAGAAUAAAUGUGUAAGUAACUAUGCACGUCUUGACGGUACCUAAUCAGAAAGCCACGGCUAACUACGUG